UACGGAGGGGGCGAGCGUUAUUCGGAAUUAUUGGGCGUAAAGGGCGCGUAGGCGGCUGAACAAGUCAAAGGUGAAAUCCCUCGGCUCAACUGAGGAACUGCCUUUGAAACUGUUCGGCUUGAGGCCGGGAGGGGGUAGCGGAAUUCCCAGUGUAGCGGUGAAAUGCGUAGAUAUUGGGAGGAACACCAGUGGCGAAGGCGGCUACCUGGACCGGUUCUGACGCUGAGGCGCGAAAGCGUGGGUAGCUAACAGG
This 253-nucleotide ribosomal RNA is filed under the name uncultured bacterium. Its description in RNAcentral is "partial 16S ribosomal RNA". It matches the Rfam family "Bacterial small subunit ribosomal RNA", at positions 524 to 776 of the family's 1533-position model. The record is from RNAcentral.